This 370-nucleotide ribosomal RNA is filed under the name uncultured organism. RNAcentral's name for it is "bacterial SSU rRNA". It matches the Rfam family "Bacterial small subunit ribosomal RNA", at positions 526 to 896 of the family's 1533-position model. The record is from RNAcentral.
CGUAGGGUGCAAGCGUUAAUCGGAAUUACUGGGCGUAAAGCGUGCGCAGGCGGUUAUAUAAGACAGAUGUGAAAUCCCCGGGCUCAACCUGGGACCUGCAUUUGUGACUGUAUAGCUAGAGUACGGUAGAGGGGGAUGGAAUUCCGCGUGUAGCAGUGAAAUGCGUAGAUAUGCGGAGGAACACCGAUGGCGAAGGCAAUCCCCUGGAUCUGUACUGACGCUCAUGCACGAAAGCGUGGGGAGCAAACAGGAUUAGAUACCCUGGUAGUCCACGCCCUAAACGAUGUCAACUGGUUGUUGGGUCUUCACUGACUCAGUAACGAAGCUAACGCGUGAAGUUGACCGCCUGGGGAGUACGGCCGCAAGGUUG